Non-coding RNA from Labrus bergylta (ballan wrasse), 1799 nucleotides. The record is from RefSeq and is a predicted model, not a curated record. NCBI's taxonomy places the organism in Eukaryota, Metazoa, Chordata, Actinopteri, Labriformes, Labridae.
UUCUGCAUCCGCACAGUGCAACCUGCGUGUAGUGCCGUAAAGUGAUCCUACCGGCAAUCCUUUGUUUGAGAAAGUAACUGUAUUCAGAAUACACCAAUUUAAACUGUAACUAAAAUGGAAUACAAUUACUCUUAUUUUGUAUUUUAAAUACGUAACGCCGUUACAUGUAAUCCGUUACUUCCCAACCCUGCCGACACCACAUGAAUGCAGCAUAAAGCAUUCAAUUAUUUUACUUUCAUUUCAGGUAAAGGAACAUGGCCUCCGCUGGUUUUCUGCUCUUAACGCUCGCUGUCCUCAACAGUAUAGGAAGUUCACAGGGUUAUGGCUUUGUGAAAAUUCACUGCAAGACUCAAAACAUCGGACAGUAUGAGCAGGAGUCACGACUUGACUGUGUAAUCCACUACUCAAAAGAGGUAGAAGAUCCUGAAAUCGUGACGGUAAUUUGGAAGAAAGAGGGGGUUGAAGAACUACUUAAAUACAACCAUGGAGAACUUACAUCGUUGCCUGGAUAUUCAUUUGCUGAACCGUCCUGGAACAACAAGAACGUGAACGUAUCCCUGCUCAUUCACAAACCUGCUGUUAAGGACGAGGGAGUUUAUACAUGUUAUGUUCACAAACAGUGGUUUUAACAUCAACCAAACCAGACUGAACGUCACAGCCAAAUACGGAGUGCCAACUAUUCAGCCUCAACCUCAGGACAUUGAUCUCAACACCGACGGUUCCCUGACAUGCAAGUCCACCGGCUACCCAAAAGGCCGACUCAGCUGGUUUGAUAAAGACAACAAGCCUUGGUUAGAGCAACCCGAGGUGAAGGUGCUGAAGACAAAGAAUGGUCUGUUUAUCCUCUCAAGCACGCUGAAAAUACAGUGAGGAUCUGCCUUCUCCAAGUACACCUGCAAAGUGUUCAACGCCAGAGGAGACGAAGAGGCGGAGAAAUCUUUCACAGUGCAGAACAAAUCAUCGGCCGAAGGGCAUGGACAAGGCGCCGAAGGCACCAAUGGCUCCAAAGACUCAAACAUGAUUUUGGACACCAUGAUAGUGACUUCUGUGUUUGUCGUCGGGUCUCUGAUCGUGGGGUUGCUACUUUAAAAAAGACGAUCUCAGUAAGAUGAUCAGGAAACGGAGGGAGAUGUUCAAGAAAGUCUGACUACAGGAGAAACCAAGACCACUCUUACUGACGACCACUGAAAUCAACACUUCUUGUUUGCUUGAGCCCGCAUCAGCAUUUUAACUUUUCCUAAUGCAAACAUCCAUGUACAUAACCAGGUAAAGCUUGUAUCACUGUGAUUUAACAGAAACUGCAAGCGCUUUGUUCACCCUUAAUCUACCAAGUAAACAAGCUCCAAUCAAGUUUAAAAUGUCAACAAAGACUGAUAUAUCGCUGACAACAGGAGUAAAAGGGGUCCAGGUCAGGCUCUGUUGUCUUAAAGUAACCACAUUGGGAACCGUUCCGACACCACGGAGUCUCUGAUGUUGAUUUAUGGAGGACAAAAGUGUAUAAUGUGAUGAUUUAGCCCACGCAAUAACUGUAGCUUUUGGCAGCUUAUCAGCCUCCUUCUUACUCCCUCUUCACGUUCCAUGUCUUUAGUGAAGGGUUAGAAUCAUGCAAUACUUUUAAUUCGUGUUUGUGUGUGUGUGUGUGUGUGUGUGUGUAUGUAUUUUAAGGAAAUGCAACUAUUUCCUGCCAACGUUUCUUUUAUUCAUAUAUGUUGUGCUAGGAGGGGUUAGAGGCAUAAAAACAGGCGUGCUUGCUGUUGCCAUGGUGCUUUCAGACACUCUCUGCCAGUCUGCGCAGGCGC